CCUCCCUCAACCCAUCGCCUUUUCUCUCUCAACCUUUUCGAAUCUGCUCUUCAAUGGCUUUCCCCUACUCAGAAAUUCAACAAAACGUGAUUCUCCGGCUGCGAGGAUCAACUAUUUGGUGAAGAGUAAUAUCCCUCAUGUCCGUCCAGCACGUCGAAUUCCAGAACCACAAAUCUGGAAAGUAGAAGUUCCCAAAAUAAUAAUGAAUUGCAAAUCUGGAAUUGAAUCCUACUUUCGCUCCAAUCGAAUUUUAGUCCGCUCCAAUUAGGGUUCUAUAAAUUUGGGUGAAAUUCCUGGGUUUGAUCGAUCUUCUUCAAAUAUCGGGAUUUUAGUUAAUUUUUAGUUUGCUGAGGUUUCUACAAUUUGUUUUUGAGAAAAUGGGAAAGCGUGGAAAUAAUCAGAAGAAAGCCCCUCAGAAUUUGAAGAAAAUGAAGCUAUUAUGAAGAUGUGAAAAAAUACAAUAAUAUGGAGGAUGAAAUUGAUGCCUAUGAUGGUGGGAUCAAAAAAUAUGACAGUAUUUCCGAACUUUCUGAGGAACCGACAGAUGCAUUUCUAUAACAAAAUCUUUUCCAUGGCAGAUGUUAUUGUCACUCCGACAACUGGUGUAACUGCAUACACGGACUAAGAAUGAUGCUUUAGAAACCGGCUAACUCAAUUACAUUAUUUCUGAUUAAGGUAAUUUGUGGUGUUGAUCACGAUGACCUAAGGCAUCUGUUCUUAGUUUCUAAAACAGUAAGCGAGUUCAAAUCAAAUUGGGAACCUGAAAAUCAAAUAGGUAAAAUGAUAAAGGCAGUGAUAGCGAUGAACACCCAGAGGAAGCCUCGGCUCACUAAAUUCUACGAUUUCCAGCUUCAAACUUACUUUUGCAAUUUGUUCACCGGUCGAAAUUAAAGCCUCCAGACAAGCAGCAGGAGCUGAUUCGUAUUCUCUACCUAGGUAAUUUCAAAGUUCGCAGUUUGCAGUUUUUGAAGCAACUUCAAUGGUGGUUGCGAAUUCGCCCAGUUCGUAAUUUUCUAUCCUAAUCAGUGGAAUUUGGAGAGGUACUUGAUGCUAGCAGUAGGUCACAACAAAGCAGAAGUGAAAAGAAGAGCCGAUCGAUAAGCUAUUUAGAAGUUGGGGAUGAAGCCUAUAACGGGUGUCAGCAUUCUUUGUGAAGAAUAGUCGUUGUGUAGAGUUCAAUUCCUGAAUUCAAUUUGUUGGAACAAUUAGUAAUGAAAAUUUGAUUUUUUCGUUGUGAUAUAUUAGUUGUAACGACACAAAUUUAAGUUUUUUAAAAAUUCGAUGCGUGCAUAUAAGACUAGUAUCAUAUAGAUCAGAUAUAACACAACUCUUAAAGAAAAAUAAAAAAAUACUCUAACACAUACAAUAUUUUAUCGGAUAACUACCUUAUCCACAACUGAAAUCUAAUCUAUCAUAAAAAAAAAAUAGUUGUGAUAAUGAGUGAAGGGUGUGCACUUUAAUUUGUUAAUCAACUACUGCUGGAUACGAUUAUUGCAUCACUUACACCAGAUAUCACCUUUAAUUAAUAUAUAACGUUAUUUUAAUAGUCGUUUAG
Molecule: long non-coding RNA, 1555 nt
Organism: Spinacia oleracea (spinach)
Lineage: Eukaryota; Viridiplantae; Streptophyta; Magnoliopsida; Caryophyllales; Amaranthaceae
Exons: 10
Source: RefSeq, a predicted model, not a curated record